RNAcentral lists this ribosomal RNA (43 nucleotides) under Agroathelia rolfsii. RNAcentral describes it as "Athelia rolfsii partial 28S ribosomal RNA". Lineage: Eukaryota; Fungi; Basidiomycota; Agaricomycetes; Amylocorticiales; Amylocorticiaceae. The record is from RNAcentral.
UAUUGACCAUUGACCUCAAUCAGGAGGACUACCGCUAACAGUA